GCUGCUGUAGGGUAGGAGGAGAGAGGUGUUACUGAAUCAGCUGCUUUCUCUCCCGUUGUCUGCUUCUGCAGAAGC
Molecule: microRNA precursor, 75 nt
Filed under: Struthio camelus australis
Lineage: Eukaryota; Metazoa; Chordata; Aves; Struthioniformes; Struthionidae
Description: mir-1759 microRNA precursor family
Rfam family: mir-1759 microRNA precursor family
Source: Rfam by way of RNAcentral